This 253-nucleotide ribosomal RNA is filed under the name uncultured bacterium. RNAcentral describes it as "partial 16S ribosomal RNA". It matches the Rfam family "Bacterial small subunit ribosomal RNA", at positions 524 to 776 of the family's 1533-position model. The record is from RNAcentral.
UACGUAGGAGACGAGCGUUGUCCGAAAUUACUGGGCGUAAAGCGCGUGUAGGCGGAUGGGCAAGUCUGCUGUGAAAGCUCCUGGCUUAACCGGGAGUGGUCGGUGGAAACUGCCAAUCUGGAGGACGGUAGAGGUAGGUAGAAUUCCCGGUGUAGUGGUGAAAUGCGUAGAGAUCGGGAGGAAUACCUGUGGCGAAGGCGGCCUACUGGGCCGGACCUGACGCUGAGACGCGAAGGCGUGGGGAGCGAACGGG